UUUGUGGAGGGUUCGAUUCUGGCUCAGGAUGAACGCUGGCGGCGUGCUUAACACAUGCAAGUCGAACGGGAUCCAUCAGGCUUUGCUUGGUGGUGAGAGUGGCGAACGGGUGAGUAAUGCGUGACCGACCUGCCCCAUGCACCGGAAUAGCUCCUGGAAACGGGUGGUAAUGCCGGAUGCUCCAUCACAUCGCAUGGUGUGUUGGGAAAGCCUUUGCGGCAUGGGAUGGGGUCGCGUCCUAUCAGCUUGAUGGCGGGGUAACGGCCCACCAUGGCUUCGACGGGUAGCCGGCCUGAGAGGGCGACCGGCCACAUUGG
Molecule: ribosomal RNA, 317 nt
Filed under: Bifidobacterium breve
Lineage: Bacteria; Bacillati; Actinomycetota; Actinomycetes; Bifidobacteriales; Bifidobacteriaceae
Description: bacterial SSU rRNA
Rfam family: Bacterial small subunit ribosomal RNA
Source: RNAcentral